Molecule: long non-coding RNA, 538 nt
Filed under: Mytilus galloprovincialis (Mediterranean mussel)
Lineage: Eukaryota; Metazoa; Mollusca; Bivalvia; Mytilida; Mytilidae
Source: RNAcentral
CUGGUGUUAUAGACUUGGAUUUAUAUUAGACAUGCUGUUUUAUUAUGUCUCAUGAACUUAUGUGAUUAUUGUGAUUAUUGUGAUUGAUAAACUAUACUGAAUGCUGAUUUAAUAAACAUUAUAUAUUGAACUUUGAAUCUGUGUUACGUUGACAUGUAUUCAUAUGAAAGCUACCAGCUAGUUCCCCCAACCUAGCAAGAUGAGUAACCAGGUCAGGAACGAGCAUAGUACUGGCCUUGGUUAUACGUGGCGGAGUGACCCAGCUUUCCGGUACUGAGGAGGGAUACAUGUAGGAUGCAAACCUGAAUACCAAGACAAGAGUCAGCAUAUCUCCAUAUAGGAAACAGUGAAUUUUCCUGAGUGUGCAGAGGUGAGUCAACCUUUUAUUUAUGAUCUUAUAUGACACCAAAUCUUUAAAUUUUACUUUAUUUUGUAAUUAAAGUUGUCAAGAUCUUUUAAUAGGAUUUUCCCUCUAAAAAGACUCAACAUGUCUAAUUCAGUUUAUCCUGACCCCUCCUUAGCUCUAAUAGCCCCCCUU